GAUGAACGCUGGCGGCGUGCUUAACACAUGCAAGUCGAACGGUGAAAGCGGAGCUUGCUCUGCUGGAUCAGUGGCGAACGGGUGAGUAACACGUGAGCAACCUGCCCCGGACUCUGGGAUAACAGUUGGAAACAGCUGCUAAUACCGGAUACGAGCUGCGAAGGCAUCUUCAGCAGCUGGAAAGAACUUCGGUCUGGGAUGAGCUCGCGGCCUAUCAGCUUGUUGGUGGGGUAAUGGCCCACCAAGGCGACGACGGGUAGCCGGCCUGAGAGGGUGACCGGCCACACUGGGACUGAGACACGGCCCAGACUCCUACGGGAGGCAGCAGUGGGGAAUAUUGGACAAUGGGCGAAAGCCUGAUCCAGCAACGCCGCGUGAGGGAUGACGGCCUUCGGGUUGUAAACCUCUUUCAGCAGGGACGAAGCGAAAGUGACGGUACCUGCAGAAGAAGCACCGGCCAACUACGUGCCAGCAGCCGCCGUAACAC
Molecule: ribosomal RNA, 487 nt
Filed under: uncultured bacterium
Lineage: Bacteria
Description: bacterial SSU rRNA
Rfam family: Bacterial small subunit ribosomal RNA
Source: RNAcentral